UGGGCACAAGUAGAUAGAUAGGUAGAUAGAUAUGUGAAAGCAGUAACGACAUAGUAAGAAAGCUACACUACUAUGCCCAAAUCAUAUACAGUGUAUACAUGCACAAUGUGAUAAGUAAUCAGCUAACAUGCUACUAUGUCUAAGAAGUAAUGCUAUUCUCUUGUUCAUCCAAUCUCUUGGCUUACCCGAAGGUUCGCCCACGACUCACAUAGCCAUCUCGUAAGGUAAGGAGUCUCAACUCGCUCAACAAACCCGAGAUCGUCUGCGGGAACCCAUAAGGCUAUCCCUCGGGACCCCAUAAGUCUAUCUCUCGUGUGACAAACUCCGGAGCGCACUGCUUGUGCGGAGCGACCGCUUACAAGCUCUGAACAGACAUGUAAGUAUGAUCCAAUCCUCUCAACUCGAGGAUACCCUAUCCACUAGGGCUAAUAGUCACUCGAGAAUCCACCUAUCCCAAUGUUCAUAUGCAAGUGUUUAACUACAAUAAGUUCUUGUUCAAUGACUCAUCACUAGGGAAUCCGCCUAUCCCUAAGUUUAUAUGUCACAAGUGUCACUCUACACUAAGUUGUAUGCCACUCGUCCUGUUAUCUAUUGUUUACAUGCCAGUCAUUAUGUAAGAUACCGGACUUCUAAAAUUAUGAAGUUACGGUGUACAUUUGGUUGGGAAGCCAUUUGAAUGGUUUCGUGAAGUUCCGGUGAAGUUUGGAAGCAUUCGGGCAUUUCGGAUGCGCGAAAACGGAACCCGAAAGGCUAUGUUGGACCGUAGACUAAAUCCGGCAUUAGCGUGGAUGAAAAGAUGAUAAAAACGUGCUCGAAAACAUGUUUGGAGAGUCUCGAUUCGAUUUGAAAUGAAUCGGAGGUCAAACGAGCGAAAACGAGCGAAAACGGAGUGAAAACGGACGAAGGCUGAAAAUGCUGAAAAAUUGGCUAAGUCUGGAACUUUGGUCCUUCGGGGACCGGUCUUUCACUGCCUAGGACCGGUCCUAGAGACCCGAAAAUGCCCAGCUCGGGCUGCUGCAAGAAGAGACUUGUUGAGGGGGUUUCUUGCAAUUUUGCACUAGUAGAGGCCUUACGAGAGGGGAAUGAGAUCUUUUCUCUCAUUCUCUCAACCCUAAACCCUCAAGACACAUGUCUCUCUCUCUCUCUCUAAAGCUCUCCUCUCUUUCUCAUCAAGGAUGGAUCUAAGAGGAGGAUUGGGUGGAGAAGAAGGCUAGGAAGUGGAUUGUGCUCAUCUUCUUCCUCUUCCUUGGCCAUUUGGGCAAGCUUUGAGGUAAGCUUUUGUGCCCAUUAAUGGUGGAACUCUAGGGUUUUAUUCUUAAGCUCUAGAAAUGGUUUAGAUGGAAUCCUAGCAUGCCAAAUAGAUGGUUUAUGCUUGAUUCAUGAGAUGAAUUGGAGUAUUUUGCUAUAAUUGCAUCUAGGGCUCCAAUUUUGGGGUUUUCAAAAAUAUGAGAGUUUGAUCUCAAUUGACCCUCCGUAAACCUAAUUGCUAGGUCCCCGAACGCGUUCGUGCACUCGGUUUGAGCAUUCGUCGAGCCGUUGUAAAGAUAUUGAAGAAACAGACUAUUUAGCUUCGUUUCCGCCUGGAGGGCCGAGGCAACAUCGUAAAAUCAUGAAAACAGAUUUGGAGCACCGUGGCACAUAACCGAAGACCUAUAAUUUUCGGAGCCACGAUUCGACGCACGGUUGGUGAGUAUUAGCAAAAUCGGGCCGAACCGGGUGCCUGGUGCCGCGGGAGGCCGAUUGCAAGUGACUACAAGCAAUCGGAGAGCGAAUCGAGAUGGGUUGUGCUCACCGAAGCGACUAGGUCGCCCUUAUGUCUAAGAGAAACGUGGUUUCAUGUUGAUGCAUAUAAAUGGUAGAUGAAUGCAAGGGUUAAAUGCUAGGUGAAUGCAUGUUAAUUGUUAUGCUAUGACUACCAUAGAAUGCACGAUGAGCAUAUUAUAGAAAUGCUAGAUGAUGCAUGUAGAUGAUGCAUGUAAAUAAUGCUAAAUAAUGCAUGUGAGCAUAUUGUAAAGAAUGCAUGUUAGUGACAUAAUGCAAAUAUGCUAGUUAAUACAUGUGUGAUAACAUGAUGAGAAAAUGCUAGAUUAUAUGCAUGUUAACAUAUUAUGAAUAUGUUCUAAUUGUUAAAUGCAAGCUCUAGAUGGUAAAUGUAUAAUGGCAUUAUGAGAUCAUGAGAAAGAUAGACAAAUGUUAACAUGUUGUAGAUCAUGUUAGAAAGAAUAUGCAUGUUGGCAUCAUAUAAUGCAUGCUAGAUAAAAUGUGGAUAUCUAUUGAACUCGAUGUGGACUAUAGGGUUGUCGAAUAGAUCGAGUGGCACUUAACCUAGUGUAUGAAACAUAGGUUGGACAUGAAUGACAAAGAACCUAGUGUUAUUAAACAUAGGUCGUGUGGCAUCUAACCUAGCGUUAAAGAACAUAGGUUGAACACGUGAACCUAGAGUCGAGAUCUAGGUAGAGAUAACAUGUGAACCUAGUGUUGUUGAACCUAGAAUGAAUCAUGAGUGGCAUCUAAAAUAGCGUUAAAGAACAUAGGUUAUGGAUUGAACCUAGAGUUAAAGUAAAUCUAGGUUAUGUGAUAGAGGCGUUGAACCUAGAGUCAAUUGGACCUAGGGUGGAAAAGACAUCAGACCUAGAUAGGUCGAUACUAUAGGAUUUGAGACCAACCCUUGAGUUGUGAAAUGGAUUCCGGAAUCCCUAGUGAUGUGGCCGCAAAAGAAGCGGUGGAAAUUGUGGUAAAAGAGAUGGCAAAGGAAUCAUAACUGCAGGUAUGUGUGGUUCUCCUCGCCUGGCAGUGAUUCAACGGGUAUGUGUGGUUCUCCUCGCCCGAGAUGCCAUGAGAAUAAGCUGGAAUUGGGUAUGUGUGGUUCUCCUCACCCAUUAGCUUAUCGGAUGAUGCCACCUAGAUUGACUUGAACCUUGCUGGGUAAGAGCGAUGUGGUCGCUGCCAGAUGACUAAGUCACAACUUGAACCAUUGUUGGGUGAGGUGCGAUGAGUUCGCCGCCAGAUGGCUAAGUCAUGACUUGAGUUGUUGUUGGGUUCGAUGCGAUGAGUUCGCCACCAAAUGGUUAAGUCAGAUUUGCGGUAGGCUGUGACGGCAGCCAGGCUGAGUUGCAGCCAGUGCGCGAACUAUCCGCGGAUGAUUGACUCGAGGCCGAGUCGGGUGGUUAGCUUGAUUAGGUUAAUGGAAACCUUAUAAGCUAGUGAUUGAGGCAAAAACCUAAGGUAAUAGAGACCUUAGAAGCAAGUUGAACUUGAACUGAGAACCUAAGGUAAUAGAAACCUUAGAAUUGAAUGAAAUGAGCUAAAGUUAGCAAAGUGAAUGUAGAAUCAACAAAUCUACUAGUUUAUACAGUUGCAUAGUUGCAUAAUAUUCUUAUUGCAUAUUGCGAGGCAUGUUAUCUGUUAGUUGCAUAAUUACAUUAUGAUAUAUAUAUAUCUGUAGAUGUUUUUGGACUAACAUGAUUGCAGUGCCUCCUUGGACCUAUCGGUCGAGCUUUUCCCUUGGGUGGCCGUACCCACUGGGAACCAUGGAGUUGGUUCUCACCCGACGUUGUUUUGGGGUGUUUCAGAUUCGCACGUGAGCGGCGCGGCGGCGCGAGGCAAGGGCGUAGCUCCAUAGAUAGCGCCCUACCCCAGAGACCAGAGAUAGCGGUACCCCGAGUCGGCAUAGCCUAGGGGUAUAGUAAAGGGAAAAGAACACAAUGUAUCAAACUUGUAAUAAUAAUUGUAAUAACUUAAUUGCAUUUGGAAGUUGAAUGUAAUGUAAAAUGAAAACUGUGAUGAAUGCUUGUAAUAACAUAGGAUGUGUUAUGUUGUUUGAUACCUUCCUUAUGCAAUCUUGCUUGAAUACUGUUCCUGGUUGGAACUUCUUGUACUUGUAUUGAUUGCGACGCCUAGGACGUAUAGGGGAAACUCUGUCCGUUCGGCAGUCUGUCUGCGGCGCCGCAACCUCGGCCAAAUAGGCGGGUGGUCACGGGUCGUGACACGUUAUGUCGCUGUGAAACCAUCGAGUUCAUCUCUUAUCUCGGCACUAUAGGAUUCAAUGUCACGACCCAAUCCUCAUCUAUCCACUAUAUCAAGCAUUCAACUCACACUAUGAUAUCAACUAGAAAGCAUAAGGAAACGGAUAAUGCACAUAGCAUCCUACAAUGCUAGCUAUAUAAAAGAUGCAAGGUUAUAAUGCACUAAGACAUAAAGAGGAGCCCGGUUGCUUCGGGAUGACACCACCCACCUUCUGGCGUUGUCACGACUCUAGAAAUGCGAUUCGGCGAUUUUACGACGUCAUCUCGGCCUCCCAGGCGAAAACAAAGCUCGGAAGGUCCUUUUUGCCGAUAACUUUGCACAGGUUCGAUGGAUCGUCGAACCGACUUCGCCUACGCGUCGAAAAGCCUAUCAAUUAGGUUUACACAUGAUCUAAUUAGAUCAAACUCUUACUUUUAGCAAAACCCCAUUUUGGAGCCCUAGAUUGCUACUAAUGCAAAAUACUCCAACAAAGCCCUAGAUUCAUGCAUUUAACAUCAAUUAGGCAUGCUAGGAUUCCAACUAAUCCAUUACUAAAGCUUAUAAUCCAAACUCUAAAAAAUCUACCAUUGUAGUUCAAUGGAGCUUACCUCUCUAGCUUGCUCUCAAGGUGGAGAAGACGAUGAUGAAGAUCAAGAUCCCUCCCUUGGCUUCAAUCUCCACCAAAUCCUCCUUCUUCACCUUCUAGAGAGAGAGGAAAAGAGCUUAAAGAGAGAGAGAGUGUGUUUUUGGUAUAGGGUGAGGGAAAUGAGAGAAAGAGAGAGAGGGAUGGCCCUUAAGUAGCCCUUAUAAUGCACAAUUGCUGAAAACCCCCUCCAUAAUGCAAGUUAUGCACAGCCCAACCCAAGACAUUUUCGGGUACGGGGACCGAUCUGUCCCUAGAGGGAUCGGUCCCCGAGAGCAAACUUUACGGGCAAAGUAAUUCUGCCAAUUUUACGCGUACGGGGACCGGUCCUUCACUCUUGAGGGAUCGGACCCUGAGAGCAAUUCUGUGCGCAGCAUUUUUCUGCCACUCACCAAGCUUACGGGAACCGGUCCCUCCCACCAGGGACCGGUCCCCGAGAGCAAAUUCUGCAAGUAUGCAGAAUCAUACCAGCUUGCUCUCCGAGGCCCUUUCCAAUGCACUUUAUGCGUUUUCGAUGCCUUCGGCCUCUCCGAAGAGUGCCGAACUCGACUUCGAUCAAUUUCAAUCGAAGUUCGAAUUCGCGUUUCGAGAUUUCCAAUUCCUUACAGUGUAUGUUAGCAGACUGCAUAACUGUGUGUUUAUAUCCAUGACAUCAUCGAAGCAUACUAGCAUGAUAGUAGGUUUGUUGCUAGAUGAACACUUCAUGUAUUGUUAGCAUUUGAAGGCAUAGUAGAAUGUAGCAGUUCAUUUCUAUCUACCUAUCUAUCUAUCUGCUCAUACCUGCUUAGACCUAGUGGGAAGAUCGGCGGAGUCGGCGGCCGAACCCACUGGGAACUAUAUUUAUAUAGUUCUCACCCCAUUUUGUUGCAGGGCCGAGUUCGAUUGAACCGGGCGAGGACCGUGGUAAGGGCGUAGCGCCCUAGUAGUUAGUAGCUUUUCCUUACUUGCAUUAGAGUACCCCCGUGUACAUAGAUGUUGUGAUAUUUUGGAGAGCUACUUAUGUACAUUGGAGAUGAACCUGUAAACCAUGUAUUGCAUUUUGGGAGAUGAAAAUGUAAAUGUGAUGUAAAUAUUGAAUGUCAAAUGUAAUAGCUAGAUAUAUCUCUCUUUUGUUCACUUGUAUGUUACUUGUGAUUCUUGCUCUUACUUGUAUCGCACUUGUGGUGCUUCGUGUAUGUUGUAUGUCAUCCUGGGCGACAAAAAUGUACACGAUUCUGUUGUUGAGCCUUGGGCGGACAAGAGAGGUGCUGUCUGUUCGGCGUCUGGUCAGCGCGCCCGAACCGACCAAACUAGCGGUUGCGGGGCGUGACACGAAUCCUCCAUGCAAUAGUCCUGGUCUGGAGUGAAUCCAGAUUUGUCUUGUCAUUUUUUCUUAUGCUCAUACUUCUAUAUUUGGAUUAACAUUAAAGCUCGCAAAAAUACAAAAAAAGAAUACAAUUCCAAAAGGAUCCACCAGCAGGUCCCUUCCUUUUGAAUAGUGAAUGAUUAGUGUUGUUGCUACCCCUUUCUCUCUCUCUAUAAGCAUCCGGAAGCUUGCACCAUGUGUGGUUUCCAUUCAAGAAGCAUCAACAUCACAUUAACCAAUCCUACUCUGCUGCCAAGAUCACAGCUGUCUUUUCCUUCUCCCAUACAGGUCUACACCAUGAGAUCAUCAAGUAAGAUCCUUUUCUCUUUCCUAUUCCUCUUUUCAUCUUUCGUUCUCCUCAACCUCAAAUCCUUAUCCAACCUUUAUCUUGUAACCAAGUCCAAAUGCUAAACCCUGAAAUCGUGCUAGACCUAAUUUUUGUAGCCAAGGUCUAACUAAGUGGCAAUUAAGAGAGGCCACUAAUAAUGGAUUGAGGCCUUUGGAUCAGAUUCAAUAGGUUGGGCACAUUGUGAAAGAUGCUAAGGGAACCACAGGUAUAAUCUCAUAUCCUAUUUCUCAUUUCAAUUCUUAAACCAGUUUAUUUGCUUGGUUUUUCUUUGAAGGUUCAUUUUCAUGGCUUAUUCAUUUUCAAAAUCAAUAGCAAUUCUUGAAUUGCCUAUUUCAUGUGUUAUGCAUAUAGGCUUGCACUACAAUUGCCUUUAGGAUAGAAGUUUUGCAUCAUCCGUCUUUGGCAACAUUGGGUUGGCAUUUUACGUUCUUAUUAUAGACAUUUAACUCUAGCACAACACUUAGAAUUAUCCAUAAAAACCGGAUGGCAAAAUCUGCCAAAGAACUGUGAUAAGAUUGUUUUACCAAAUAGUGACCUACUUUAGCUACAGUGCUUAUUUACCAGAGUCUUUGCUGCAACACCUUUUCAAAAUGUCUUUUUGCCAUAGUCACAGCAUUACCAAACUAGGUUUAAAGUGUUUUGCCUUUGUUUAAAUUAUUUCUAUUAGGAAGUUCUACAAAUAAAAAUAACUCCACAAUGUCCUAAAAGGCUAAAAUCUAUUUCUUUCAGCCUUGUUUGGUAUCGCUUCACUUUUUUUUUUUUUUUAAUAACAUAAACUCAUUGAGUGCGAGGGUCGAUGGUGGAGUGCUUGCAAUCCACACAUCUAAGGUUUGUUUGGCAAAAAAAAAAAAAAAAAAACGUGGUCACUUUUUUCAAUUCCAUGUUUUCUUGAAGAUGCCUUCUUGCACCUGACCGGUUGCAUUGCAUGCUAGCCAUUGACGACAAGUGUAGAAGUCCAUCCCCUGGCACAUCCGACCAUGGUAGAACUUUUUAAAAAAGAACUGAAAAAUGGCAACAAUACCAAACAAGACCUUGCUUCAUUAGAAGUUCUAGAUUUGCUUUUGUUUAGUUCUUCUAAAUGUCCUUUUUGUUCUUAUAACUUGUUAAUAGAACUGUAAUAUAAAUAACAGAUCCUACAAAAAGAAGUGCAGCCAUGAAGAAUUAACCCUAAACCCUAAAACCUAAAGAGUGAAAAUUAGUUGAAAAGCAAAUUUAGAAAACCUAGUCAUUAACAUUUUAAUUAUGGUAGUUAUCAACUAAGGAAACCAGUUAUUAAAUUUCAAUAAUGGCAACCAAAAAGCUAUAACUAAAAACUAAAAAGGGUCUAAGAAAUUCUUUUUUUUCCCCAAAACAUGAGAAAAGAAUUAUUUAGCAUUAUGUCACAAACAAUGUUGAGCAAUACUUACCGCUCCACUGUGCAGUCCAUAUACCGACAAAAUGAAACAAGACUUAUCCAGAUCGCAUGUCAAAUAAUACCUGUAAAAUGACGAAUGUAGGAAAUGUCAUCUAAGAUGCAUAACAUUUGUUUAGGAAAAUGUGUGAAGCAUUAGCUGAUCAUGAUAUACGAGAGGAAUUAUGUAUUUCUUCUGUUUCUUAUCUUUAUCCUUAACAAACUAAAUUGUCUUCUAAUGUAAAAAUAAAUAAUAUGAAGAAUAAAUUGAUGCAGACAAAAAACCUAUCAGAGGUUCCAUAUUUGCAAGGAUCUAAAAUAGAAGCAGAUUUACUGAAUCUAUAGAAAUGAUACAACGCAGAAGAACCAAGUUACUUAGAUCUAAAAUUGAUAGAUUAAUGAUUCAAUCUUUAUUUGAUUGAAGUGCUAGUCUACUGUACAAUGGCAAAAUUGUAUGCAGUAGAAGAACAAGAUGACUCAAAUUAAAAUGAAAUGAAAUUUCAGUAACAAGAACUUUUAAAAGAAGCCAAAAUCACCACCUAAAGUAUGAUAUAAGGUAGCACUUAAAUAUGAUACAAGGCAGCAAGCAAGAUACUGAAAGAAUUAUUAUUAAAUGUAUUGAAAUAAACAAUAAAGUUGGACCCACAAAUCUCUAAUUUGUCGAGGACCAGAAAUGGUUCAGAUUGCAAGUAAAAUACAGUUCAUCCAUAAGAGAUUAUCGACGGCACACCCAGAAAAGUCGGUGUGUAAAUUUUAUACAAGUAUGGCAAGACUCACAAUGGUGCUAUAUUGUCAUGCUUUACGAAGAGAAGCACUUUUCCCACAACAGCUACUGCUUUAUUCAACCCUUCUGAAAGGACAUUUAUGGCGGAUUUCUUGGGUGAUGACUUCACUAGAAAGGCAAGUAAUGUAAUAAAUAGAUGAACAAUUAAAUGAACUGACCAAAGUAUACAGCUUCAAAAUGCUCAAGUACCAAAAAGAGGACACUUACAAUUAACUUCAGCCAAGGAUGACAGAAGUGAUGUUAACCGCUUACUUCGGACCUGCUCCUGCAUAAUUAUUUAUGGACGAUUCUAAAGCAACUCUAGAAAUAGAAGUCAUUCUUGCAGAUUCUUGGUUCACUUCUAUCAUAAUCUAAUUCAUUUUCAAGAAAGAAAUUCGCCGAAAGGAGAUAAAACAUUCUUUAUAUAAGUACACUUUGAAGACUAAGCACAAUAAUAGGGCCUUGCUUCGUAUUCUUGCUUUUCUUUUACGCUUUUUCAAACACCAAUUCAACAAGGAGUAAGCAGGAAGAUGGCUUAUUGCUUCAGUCUCUACUCUACAGGAGUUGUUCGGCAACAAAGUACAAAGACUUAAAUAGAAUUUUUCUUUUAUUUUGUUGCUUCUUUGUUUUUUUGAAGAAGAUGGUGUUCUGCAUCAAGCCUGGGCAUAUAAUAAGCUAACCAACAAUGACAACAAGAGAAAAAAUCAACCACCGGAGGUCCGGAACAUCCAUUCACAUAGAAUUUGCUUUUUUUAGAAAAGCACAAAAAACAACAACAGUAUUAAACAACGCCAAGUUUUUGGAACUAUAAUUGACAAAACAAGAACAAUGAAACAAACAGAAAUGCAGUUCAAUAUGCUUAAUGCAAUAUGUUAUGCCAUUUCAUUUCAGUUUUGUAAGCCCAACAUAUGGUAAUAUCAGAAGUACAGUACAUUUUAGAAUCAUAAUUGUAAAACACACCAAAUGUAUCCCACUUUCUAGAAAAAAGAACUUUCCAAACAAUGAAGGACUCGCCAAUAAUUUCACAGAUGUAUCAAACUUUGUAACAAACAGCUGUGAAAUGCUUUUGUGCAGAAAAUAAACAAGCCAUUUAUGUUCUAGCAAAAGAUCCACAGACAGAGUUAAUGAUGCAAAGAUCAGGCGUAAUACCCCAAAUUUCGAGAAAACUCAUAAAGAGUGUUAGCCUAAGUGUUAGGUUCCGGGACAUGGUUAGGUGAUUCCAGAACCUAAGCAGAAGAACAGGGAGAAAAGAGGUUCUGUUUCUAAGAAGCUUGUGGGGAAGGUUCCACAACAUAACCUAGUUUUGGAACACGAAAAUCAUGUUCCGGAAUGUGAGCAGCUGAGGGCUGCGCUUGGGUGUGGGCAAUGAUGCGAGAAGUUAUAUCAUGAGGGGCUUAUUUGUAAUUGUCUUUCCCCUCCCUAUAAGAGGAUCUCUUGUGGAACCCUAGCCCCCUUCUUCUCUCUUCCUCCUCCCCCUCUCCACACACUCCUACUUUCUCACUUCCUCACACAUUUCUCCAUUUUUGAAGGAAAGUAAAUCUUUCUUAUACCUCCUGUAAUACACUGAACUUUUGCAAAUGGCGGAGUUCAAGUGUGUGGAAUGAAAUGUGGAACUAUCCUACAUAUUCUAAAUGACUUGGACAAGUUUUUGAACAAGUUAGAGAGUGAUUGGAGGGUUAAAAGCAAGAAAGUGCGCUGAUCUGGCGAAAUCAGCAGUUUUCUGCUUGGUGUACCGGUACAGCCAUCAUGGUGUACCGGUACACAAUGGUAAAACGUGGCAGCAAGGCUAUUUUGAUCAUUUCACAUCUUGUUCUCAUCUAUUUGAGUCCAGCACAACUCUGGGGGCUCAGGGGAGGUUGCUGAAGCUCUGAGUAAGCUUCUUUCAUCUUCUUCUCUCUCUCUCUAGGGUUUUUCUCUCUCUACAUAAAAGCCGCCAUUUCGCGCAGAUUUCACGCCGCGCUCGUUGCUCGCUGAUUUGGCGACUCAAGGGAUGCCUUCAGCACGUGGGGAGGAGGACUUUUCUCUGAGUUUUCCGUGAGGUUAGUACCAGAGAAGCUCAAUCUCAGCUUUAGAAAAGGAAUGAGCUCAAUUUCUCUCUAGUUUGUGAUUUAACAUUGAAACUUGAUGCAUUUUGGUUUUAUUGCUUCCAACUGAAAUUGAGGCUGUUUUCAGCAGUAAAGAGGAGCUAUUUUGACUGUGAAUUAACUAUUCUAGCUCAGUGAAAAGUUGCUUUAAAGCUGGACUAAGAUGAUUAAGUAUUUAUGAAGCUAGUUCGGAUCUAUAUGAAGUUUAAUCAGGUAACUAAUGCAGUUUGGAAAUGAUGCCUUCGCAGCAGGUUUUUGAACUAUUUGGAGCUUACUUGGUGACCUUGGGGACUGGUCUAGAAGUGUUCUAACCUAAGGUAAGCAGGAAUUUCAGUUAGAAAACUGAAUUCGCAGAAUUCCGACUAUAUUUCUUAGUAUUUGACGAUUUUGUUGCCGUUUUGGAAUAGUUCGAAGCGGGCUUGCAACAGACCUUCGGAUUAUCUCCGGCUGAUGCGUGAGGGAUUUUGGAAGCUUAACUUGAGGUAUUAACGGAGUCAAAACAGGGAUUUAAGCUAUUCCUAUGUACUGAGUGCAAUUGCGCCGAAAUCGGACAUUUCGGUUGUCGUUUUGAUACGAUAUUUAUGCUUUGUGUUCAGCAGGAUUGAGACCUAGUGGAGCUGAUCCUUGGGACUCCUUUGGACUGAUUUGGAGCCUAGUACUAGGUGGGUUUGACCUAACCAGAGCAAGUGAAGCUCCCCUAUGUUCUAUAUAUAACUAUAGAAUCGGUUUAGUAUCGCCUUUACUAAUAAAGGGUUUGAUAUAUAUAUCGUCUUAACAUUUGAUGAAUGAAAUAGAACCUCUAUGAAGUAGAAUGGACACACACAUGCAUAAAGUAUUUAUGUUCAUGUUUAAUUCAGUUGAAUGACAUUCUGGUACAAGUUACUAUGUUCCUAGAAAGUAGAGAACAAUGACAUGCUCGACACUUUAUUGAUUAUAAAGUUGAGAACAAGAACAUGUUUUAUGACUAUAAUGAUAGUGCCAUGAUACUAGAAAGUUUCUAAUGCCAUAUGUAAAUUAGCAUUACUCUCAUAUGUUUAUUAAUCUAGUGGAUACUAGUUGUUGUCAAUAUUGAUUAUAUUGAAAUUCCGAUCAAAGGAUCGAGAGCGAGAUUAUUAUGAGCUAAAUUGUGAUAGUUGAGACAUGUUGGACUGUGGACUUUGCUUGCUUGCCAUCGUGCUCAUUCGCACACGCUUGUGAGGGUAGCUCCCUACAAGCCGGCACUCCGGAGUUGGCCUACGCGACAGUUGCUCGCCCGUGCGGGAUUGGGUGCCGAAGUGGAUUGCCGUGGGGAGUGUAUACUACCACGGGACCAUUAGGCGCGGCGCAAGC
Molecule: long non-coding RNA, 11908 nt
Filed under: Ananas comosus (pineapple)
Lineage: Eukaryota; Viridiplantae; Streptophyta; Magnoliopsida; Poales; Bromeliaceae
Description: long non-coding RNA (ACOM_LNC017801)
Source: RNAcentral